UACGAAGGGGGCUAGCGUUGCUCGGAAUUACUGGGCGUAAAGCGCACGUAGGCGGCUCUUUAAGUCAGGGGUGAAAUCCUGGAGCUCAACUCCAGAACUGCCUUUGAUACUGAGGACCUUGAGUUCGGGAGAGGUGAGUGGAACUGCGAGUGUAGAGGUGAAAUUCGUAGAUAUUCGCAAGAACACCAGUGGCGAAGGCGGCUUACUGGUCCGGUUCUGACGCUGAGGCGCGAAAGCGUGGGGAGCAAACAGG
This 253-nucleotide ribosomal RNA is filed under the name uncultured bacterium. Its description in RNAcentral is "partial 16S ribosomal RNA". It matches the Rfam family "Bacterial small subunit ribosomal RNA", at positions 524 to 776 of the family's 1533-position model. The record is from RNAcentral.